This 496-nucleotide ribosomal RNA is filed under the name uncultured bacterium. RNAcentral's name for it is "partial 16S ribosomal RNA". It matches the Rfam family "Bacterial small subunit ribosomal RNA", at positions 29 to 507 of the family's 1533-position model. The record is from RNAcentral.
AUGAACGCUGGCGGCGUGCCUAAUACAUGCAAGUCGCGCGAACAGACGAGGAGCUUGCUCCUCUGACGUUAGCGGCGGCCGGGUGAGUAACACGUGGAUAACCUACCUAUAAGACUGGGAUAACUUCGGGAAACCGGAGCUAAUACCGGAUAAUAUAUUGAACCGCAUGGUUCAAUAGUGAAAGACGGUUUUGCUGUCACUUAUAGAUGGAUCCGCGCCGCAUUAGCUAGUUGGUAAGGUAACGGCUUACCAAGGCGACGAUGCGUAGCCGACCUGAGAGGGUGAUCGGCCACACUGGAACUGAGACACGGUCCAGACUCCUACGGGAGGCAGCAGUAGGGAAUCUUCCGCAAAGGGCGAAAGCCUGACGGAGCAACGCCGCGUGAGUGAUGAAGGUCUUCGGAUCGUAAAACUCUGUUAUUAGGGAAGAACAAAUGUGUAAGUAACUAUGCACGUCUUGACGGUACCUAAUCAGAAAGCCACGGCUAACUACGUG